ACGCUCGACACCUACGGGAGGCAGCAGUUGGGAAUAUUGGACAAUGGAGGAAACUCUGAUCCAGUGACGCCGCGUGAUGGAAGAAGGUCUUCGGAUUGUAAACUUAUUUUGUCAGGGAAGAAAAAUGACUGUACCUGAAGAAAAAGCACCGGCUAACUACGUGCCAACAGCCGCGGUAAUCUGAGCGGGCUGGCAAGGC
This 199-nucleotide ribosomal RNA is filed under the name uncultured bacterium. RNAcentral describes it as "partial 16S ribosomal RNA". It matches the Rfam family "Bacterial small subunit ribosomal RNA", at positions 328 to 539 of the family's 1533-position model. The record is from RNAcentral.